AAAAAAAAAAAAGAGUUUUUUGGGCCAAUGAGAAGAGACCCCCAGCACCCCCACUGGGGGUCUCAUGCAUUUUCCAAGAUUAUUGCAUAACUGUUUUUCAUGAAAAUUGAUGUUUGUUUUGCAUAUUGAACAUUACUCCUCUCAAUGGGCUUGUUAUGGUUUGAGAGUACAAUGUGAUAUGAAUGUGCUAAUCUCUGUUACAGUCCAUUUGGAUUGGAUGAUUUGGGUAGAAAAAAGAAUAAAUUUUUUUUUUUUUUUUUGAAAGCAGUAGGUUUACUUUCUGCCUCAUCAUUUACCCCUGUGCCCUAUCUUUAUCGCUUGUUUUGACUAGCAAACUAUGUUGGUGAUUAGACAAUAUUUUUCUGAGCAAGUUGAAUGGUUUUGACUUUGCGUUUUGAGUUUGGAAUACCUGUUAUUAUUUAGGUGAUUUUUUAGAAUCAAUCACUUACUUAUUGUACUCCUAGUUACCUGUUGCUGUCCUAAGACACUGUCAUUGUUUAUAAAUUUUUGGACCAUUAGAAUACUCACUCAUCUGAUUGUUCAAAGAACGACAAAAUACUAAUUUCAGAACAAAAUUUAUGAAUUCAAGUACAAUUUUUUUGUUUUGAAAAACCUGGGCUCGUGACUCAGCGAUAGCUUGUUAAUUUAGACUAAUUGAUAUUGAACACCUUAUUUUCUCCUUCGCCAUUAUUUUCAUCUUUUGUUUUUUGUUUAUAUUAUUUUUAUCAUUUGGCCCCCGUUCAUCUAUGAGAAUUUGCAACUUUUCAUCAACAUUACCUUGUGUACUUACAUUUUCUAUCCAAAAAGAACUCUGUUUUAGAUUUUCUAAACUCUCCCGUUGCUCGUCUUUGUGCAGUUGCAUGUUUUGUUUUGUUUUUGUUUUUUGGUGAUGUGGGUUAGGUUUUUUUAUUUUUUAUUUUUAUACCUUUCUUUGUCAUUGUAUCUUCUUCUUUCACUUUUGAUUUCUUUUGCAACGAGUUAACAUUGUAAAAGAGGACCAUUGUAAGACUUUCCAAUAUAUUGAUUCUUCAUAGCCAUGAUUGUUGUGGUUUUGUUGCUAUUAUUGGUGUUGCUCUUCUUUUUGUUUUUUGAAUAAAUGGGUGCAAGUCUGCAAGAAAGAUGUUUUUUCUUUAUUAUUAUUAACUUUUUGAUUGGCACAGGGGCAUCCGGAUCAAAGCCCAACUAAUCCUCUGGGGUGCACUGGCUAGGGCUGUUCACGGGUCGGUUCGGCUCGGGUUUACCCUUUAUCCGUCAGCCGAACCGACACUUUCGGGUUAAUAAAUUAGUGAUCCGUGGUCAACCGAAGUGUGGUUCGAAAUCGACCGAAUUAAAGAAGACGGUUUGACGGUCGGUUUGGUCUAAUUCGAAAAUCUAAGUAGGGGUGAAAUUUUUGUGUAAAAUAUUGAAUUAAAUCCAUACUCAUAAAUAUACACACACAUAUAUAUGUAUAUAUACAUAUACACACACACAUCUAUGACAGUGUAUGAACAAAGAAAAAGGGAGAAAGAAAGAGAAAGACUCACCAUCGUAGCUGUAAUCAUCUCCAUCGCCAUCGCAGAUCGUUGCCAUUGUUAACUACAUCGUCUUCACCACAACCAUUACCAUCAAAAGAAAGAGAAGCACAGAUGAAUCAUGAGGGAGAGAUGAGUUUGUCUCUCAAAGAAAAAGAUGAAAAAUGAGAGAAAAAGAAAGGCCAGAAACGAGAUUGAAGAGAGAAAAGAAGAGAUUCUUCAACUUUUGGUCUACCUAGGGUUGAUGAGAGAAAGAAGAAAAAUGAGAAAUAAAUCUGUGAAGACAAUAGAGGGAGAGACUCAUCAUUUUUGUUCUUUCCACGGUUUAUGAGAGAAGAAAGAAGAGAGAGGGGAGGAACAAAUGAGAGUAAGUAAAGAGAGAGAAGGGAAUGCCUUUUCAAUUUUGAGUCUUUCAAGAUUUUAUGAGAGACAUAAAGUGAAGAGAAAUUAAUCUCUUUGGAAAGUGAAGGGGCAGACAGACUGCUAUGAAUACUCUCAAUGUAAAUAUAUAAAUAUUAUAUAUAUACACGUUAUUGUUUCGGUCGGGCUGGGUUUGGCGGAUUUAUAUAUGAAAAAUCCAUUACCGGCCGGGAAUCUAUGAAAUUUAGUAUAGAAAAACCACAGCCGACUGUUCUUCUCUUCGAAACCGUCCGUGGCAGCCCGGACGGUUUGGGCGGGUAUUCGGUUCAUUUGAACAGCCCUAGCACUGGCCCUCUGCAAGAAGUUUCCCACAAAUGCAUCACUAUUAAUUUAAGGGUUUUUCCCUAAACCUUGGAGGGAGUACACCCUCAAGAACCAUGGCCUUGCAACCAAGCCAACCCCUUGGGGCUAUGUUUUAAUAGUUUUAAUAUAUUUACGUACUAUGAAAUAAGAAAAGAACAACAAAUCAAAAAGAAAAAAAAAAGAGAUAAUAAUUUGGUAAAAUAUUAUUAUUUUGAUUUUUAAACAUUUAUGUCUGUAAAUUAUAAGUUUUCAUAUAAGUUUUCAUCGAAGUGUUUAAGGUGGUGAAUUGCAGUUCUACUUGUGCAUAGUUUUUCGUUAGACCUUGAUACCUUACGGUGCACACGCCUUUAAUAACUAUGCCCAACCCCUUAAUUAGGUAGUUUUCAAAUUUAGGUCUGAUAUUUUUAUUUUUAUUUUUAAUGAAUAAUACCCACAAGGUUGAUCUAUUAAAGGGCGCUGCAUUAAUAUAUAUAUAUAUAUAUAUAUUAAAAUGCCAAGAAGAUUUCUGGACUAUUUGGAAAUAGUUUUACUCCACAUGUAGUAACUUGUUAGUACACGUGGCUUACUUAUUUAAAGGAUCAAAAUUUGUAAUAUAACAGGUCCCAUUUGCGAAAGCAAUUGUAUAUAACUUUAGUAUCAUUGAAUGAGUUUUAACAGCAUGAUAUGUAUACCAUCUUUGCCGGAUCUAAGGCAUGGGACAAAAUCAAUGGUUUAAUCAUUCAAUCGAAUACUUUAUAUGUACAGUUUAUUCUUAAAUGGAGCUGAUUGUAUGUCCAUCAUUCAAUCCUUUAAAUAAGUAAGCUUCGUAUGCUGACGCGUAUCUAUAUAUGGAGUAUAUUUUUUCUAGUUUUAAUAUAAAUGUUGGUUCUACUUAUUUCAAUUUAAAGCGAAAGACGUGAUCUCAAUUAGUUAUGUCAGCUAUGUGGAUCCAUUUCCUUUAAGUUGACUCAAAUAGAGCCAUGUUGCCUAUUGGGCAUUAAAAUUAUAUAUCAUAAUUAGCCUUUACUUCAUUUUCUUUCCCUUUCUUCUUCUUCUACUUCUUCUUACCCUUUUCUUCCACAAAUCCAAGAUCUGAACAUGACCUUAAUUUCGGUUUCAACAUAAUUCCCAAUAGGCUAGAUUUACAAUAGGCUUGAGAACAAAGUAAUUUUUCUGUGCUGUUUGUUUUUGUAGUUUUGUAAACCAUAAACAAUAGCUUAAUGUUGGAGAUUUGAGUUUAGCAAUCGCUUCACUGUGACUUUACGGGAAACAACAAAAUUAGGAAUGGUGUAAAAAGAGCUUCUACAAGGAAUUUGCAUACUUUACACGGUGACAUGACUUCUUCAUAUCUUAUGGCUGAGGUUUCUGUUGUUAAAACUAUGAACACUGAAUUGUCUGGUUGGAAGUUCAGAACUUCGAUCCAAUGCUUUUUGUUGAAGAAUAGUAGUUCAAAUUUUUUCUCCUCAUAUUAUUCAUCGACCACUUUUUUUUGUAAAGAGUAGCCAUUUCUUCUAAACUUAGUGGGUAGUUUAGAUAGCUGACUUGCAUUAUUUUUGAUUCUCUGCCACAGGUUAGGAUGAAGCUCGUUAAAGAUUGGCUUCCAGUGUUGAAUGUAUGCAAAGAUCACGUCUCGCCCAUGCUGCCCAGUCAUAAAUCACUGUAUUUGGAGCUCGAAGAAACAUUCCUGAAAAUUAUCUCUACACUGCCCAUGUUGGAUGCACAGGAAUUGUUGCAGCAGUGUCUCAGCUUCUCAACUCGAAAUGUUCAAGACUGUCCUCAUUUGCUAACUCCAUUCAAUACCUGGUUCCGUAGUGCAACUCAUCCCCUACAAGCCGAAAAUCUUUGUGAGUAGGGUUUUGAAACUUGUGUUUGACAGUUUUAACAGUCAGUAUUUGUUCUACCAUAGGUUUCUUGCCUUUCCUGUCAAAUAUUGUGCAUAUUGAUAUGAUGUUAGGGUGUAAAACUGAUGGCUGUAUAUAUGCCUUGGUCUCUCUUGAAAGCAAACCAUGUAAAGCACCUGUAGUUCGAGAAAAUAAAUCUUUGAAGGCUGUUGCCAAGCCAACUGUUUGUGGCUGUUUUUCAAUGCCAUUUGAUAGACUUGAUUCCUGAGUA
This is a non-coding RNA of Camellia sinensis, 4325 nucleotides long. The record is from RefSeq and is a predicted model, not a curated record. NCBI's taxonomy places the organism in Eukaryota, Viridiplantae, Streptophyta, Magnoliopsida, Ericales, Theaceae.